AGAACGAACGCUGGCGGCAUGCCUAAUACAUGCAAGUCGAACGAACUCUUCGGAGUUAGUGGCGCACGGGUGCGUAACGCGUGGGAAUCUGCCCCUUGGUUCGGAAUAACAGUUGGAAACGACUGCUAAUACCGGAUGAUGACGAAAGUCCAAAGAUUUAUCGCCAAGGGAUGAGCCCGCGUAGGAUUAGCUAGUUGGUGAGGUAAAGGCUCACCAAGGCAACGAUCCUUAGCUGGUCUGAGAGGAUGAUCAGCCACACGUGGGACUGAGACACGGCCCAG
Molecule: ribosomal RNA, 281 nt
Filed under: uncultured soil bacterium
Lineage: Bacteria
Description: partial 16S ribosomal RNA
Rfam family: Bacterial small subunit ribosomal RNA
Source: RNAcentral